RNAcentral lists this small RNA (1480 nucleotides) under Drosophila pseudoobscura pseudoobscura. Its description in RNAcentral is "GA22826". The record is from RNAcentral. Lineage: Eukaryota; Metazoa; Arthropoda; Insecta; Diptera; Drosophilidae.
CGUUUGUUGACCAAAACGUCCCCCGACCGAGCCGAAGAAUAAAAACAAAGACGCCUUCUAUUUUUUAAUCAUCUCCCUAUUUCCCAAAUUAUAAAAUUAUAAAGAAAUUGUUUUUCCUGAAAGAUUAAAUUGAAUCGUAUUACGCUUUCCAAGUAAAUCAUGCCACCAAAAUCAAGAAAGACCAAGGCUUCACAACAACUUCGAAAAGGAGCUAGUGGUGCUGCCAACCAGAAUGACUUACUUAUUAUCCAGGCUCUUAUACUUAGAUCUCAAUAAACCUUCGAACCUGAUUGAGAUUACUACCUAGAACAGCUGGGAUUUCGAAUCAAUUCGCAAGCUGUCCAGACUGAUUUGUCUAAGGUGUCUAACGCCCUCGAAAAGGCGGUAACAUGUGGAUUUAUUCAGAUCAUAAACGAAGGCUUUUACCUCUUUCCCAUAACCGUAACUGAAUCUAUAAAAACUGAAAUAUUUAAUGAUAGCUUGCGUCAAGAUAUUGCCAGGACCGUGAUGGAGAUAUAGGAGAUCGAGAAGUCGUGGCCUACUUCUGGAAUGUUUGAUUCCGCGUCUUGUAGCCCUGGUUGGCAGCUGGUUCCCUGGCUAGGAAAAUAAACAGGCAAAAAGAACGCGCGGUGCUGGCAACUCAGUUGCGAGGCCCGGCAUCCUCGUCGCCAACCAUCUUGAGUCGAAGAGAGGAGGAAAAACUAUCCCCGGGAGCUUCGUGAGUGCGGCGAGUUUUGAACGUCUGAGUGACAAACCACAAAUGAAUUUAUCCAUACCAGAUUGCUUUGCAAUCCUGUUUGCCGAAUUCCUUGGCUUUUGGAGGCACUGGAGAUCGCGCCCACAGGAGACUACGAUCCCGCUAGGUCCAAACGAAUCCGGCGCAAGCUCCCGAACACCGGCACCACUAUUGCGGGCCUUACGAUCCGUGAUGGCGUCAUCAUUGCCACCCACAUCAGGGAGACAAGCGGCUCCAUGAUUCGCACAGGUCGUUCAAAGAAAAUAUUUCGCCUGCACGAUAACAUCUAUGCAGCUGGAGCUGGCACCGCCGAUGAUAUAUGUAGAUGCCGUUGCACGUCUUCUUCGGGCACAGCUUAACCAUAUUCGGAUGACAAUGUGCACAGAGGUGCCAGUUGUGCGCGCUAAACAUAUAAUUAAAAAGCUGAUUUACCGCUUUAAGCACGUAAACAGGAUGAACUGGAUAAUCGCCGCCGUAGACAGGGGUCGAGCCUCGAAAGCCUCGCUAGAAAGAAAACCUGGACGAAAAGGAAGCGACGCGCUUGAUUAUUGAUGCGGUUCGCGCUGCCAUCUAGACCGAUCGUGGCACACAGAGACAAGACCGUCCGGGUCUACCGUCCACUUCUGCGUCAUCCGCAAUGACUACGUGGUAAGGCAGGGAUACAACGUCGUCGUCGAGAUUGCCCACCGUAUACGGUACAAGAGGGUGUCUGGGAAGUAGUUCACAAACAAUGGACAAAAAAAA